RNAcentral lists this ribosomal RNA (492 nucleotides) under uncultured bacterium. Its description in RNAcentral is "partial 16S ribosomal RNA". It matches the Rfam family "Bacterial small subunit ribosomal RNA", at positions 29 to 507 of the family's 1533-position model. The record is from RNAcentral.
AGUGAACGCUGGCGGUAGGCCUAACACAUGCGAGUCGAACGGCAGCACAGUAAGAGCUUGCUCUUACGGGUGGCGAGUGGCGGACGGGUGAGGAAUACAUCGGAAUCUACUUUUUCGUGGGGGAUAACGUAGGGAAACUUACGCUAAUACCGCAUACGACCUACGGGUGAAAGCAGGGGAUCUUCGGACCUUGCGCGAUUGAAUGAGCCGAUGUCGGAUUAGCUAGUUGGCGGGGUAAAGGCCCACCAAGGCGACGAUCCGUAGCUGGUCUGAGAGGAUGAUCAGCCACACUGGAACUGAGACACGGUCCAGACUCCUACGGGAGGCAGCAGUGGGGAAUAUUGGACAAUGGGCGCAAGCCUGAUCCAGCCAUACCGCGUGGGCGAAGAAGGCCUUCGGGCUGUAAAGCCCUUUUGUUGGGAAAGAAAAGCAGCAGGUUAAUACCCCGCUGUUCUGACGGUACCCAAAGAAUAAGCACCGGCUAACUUCGUG